Molecule: ribosomal RNA, 301 nt
Filed under: uncultured bacterium
Lineage: Bacteria
Description: partial 16S ribosomal RNA
Rfam family: Bacterial small subunit ribosomal RNA
Source: RNAcentral
CAGCCGCCGCGGUAAUACGUAGGGUGCAAGCGUUAAUCGGAAUUACUGGGCGUAAAGCGUGCGCAGGCGGUUUGUUAAGACAGAUGUGAAAUCCCCGGGCUCAACCUGGGAACUGCAUUUGUGACUGGCAAGCUAGAGUGUGGCAGAGGGGGGUGGAAUUCCGCGUGUAGCAGUGAAAUGCGUAGAUAUGCGGAGGAACACCGAUGGCGAAGGCAGCCCCCUGGGCCAACACUGACGCUCAUGCACGAAAGCGUGUGGAGCAAACAGGAUUAGAUACCCCGGUAGUCCCUGUCUCUUAUAC